This 507-nucleotide ribosomal RNA is filed under the name uncultured Desulfobulbus sp. RNAcentral describes it as "bacterial SSU rRNA". It matches the Rfam family "Bacterial small subunit ribosomal RNA", at positions 907 to 1382 of the family's 1533-position model. Lineage: Bacteria; Pseudomonadati; Thermodesulfobacteriota; Desulfobulbia; Desulfobulbales; Desulfobulbaceae. The record is from RNAcentral.
GCCAGCCCGCUCAGAAACUUAAAGGCGAGUUGACGGGGGCCCGCACAAGCGGUGGAGUAUGUGGUUUAAUUCGAUGCAACGCGAAGAACCUUACCUGGUCUUGACAUCCCGGAGACCCUUAGGAAACUAGGGGGUGCUUCCAUCUGGAAGAAUCUGGAGACAGGUGCUGCAUGGCUGUCGUCAGCUCGUGUCGUGAGAUGUUGGGUUAAGUCCCGCAACGAGCGCAACCCUUGCCUUUAGUUGCCAGCAGUUCGGCUGGGCACUCUAAAGGGACUGCCGGUGUUAAACCGGAGGAAGGUGGGGAUGACGUCAAGUCCUCAUGGCCUUUAUGACCAGGGCUACACACGUACUACAAUGGCCGAUACAAAGGGCAGCGACACUGCGAGGUGAAGCCAAUCCCGUAAAAUCGGUCUCAGUCCGGAUUGGAGUCUGCAACUCGACUCCAUGAAGUUGGAAUCGCUAGUAAUCGUGAAUCAGAAUGUCACGGUGAAUACGUUCCCGGGCCUU